UACAGAGGGUGCGAGCGUUGUCCGGAAUUACUGGGCGUAAAGGGCGCGUAGGCGGCCUGAUAAGUAGGAGGUGAAAUUCCAUGGCUCAACCAUGGAUCGGCCUUCUAGACUGUCAGGCUUGAGCACGGUAGAGGCAGAUGGAAUUCCCGGUGUAGCGGUGGAAUGCGUAGAGAUCGGGAAGAACACCAGUGGCGAAGGCGGUCUGCUGGGCCGUUGCUGACGCUGAGGCGCGACAGCGUGGGGAGCAAAC
RNAcentral lists this ribosomal RNA (250 nucleotides) under uncultured bacterium. RNAcentral describes it as "partial 16S ribosomal RNA". It matches the Rfam family "Bacterial small subunit ribosomal RNA", at positions 524 to 773 of the family's 1533-position model. The record is from RNAcentral.